UGCAUUCCUCAGGUAGAAAAACUGAUCCCCUA
RNAcentral lists this non-coding RNA (32 nucleotides) under Mus musculus (house mouse). The record is from RNAcentral. Lineage: Eukaryota; Metazoa; Chordata; Mammalia; Rodentia; Muridae.